GGCAAUGUGCUCAGUAGUAGAGCACUUGCCUAGCAUGCAAGAGGUCCUGAGUUCAAUCCCCAGUACUGCAA
This 71-nucleotide transfer RNA is filed under the name Marmota marmota marmota (Alpine marmot). It matches the Rfam family "tRNA". Rfam says of the family: Transfer RNA (tRNA) molecules are approximately 80 nucleotides in length. Their secondary structure includes four short double-helical elements and three loops (D, anti-codon, and T loops). Lineage: Eukaryota; Metazoa; Chordata; Mammalia; Rodentia; Sciuridae. RNAcentral also lists the same sequence under 3 other names. The record is from Rfam by way of RNAcentral.